ACAGAGCCAGUGGUCUGAAAAUGAAUCUGUCCCAGGUACUUGCACCUUUAUUAUUAUCUCACUUAUUCUCCACAGAAAUCCACUGUUGGUUUUCUUUUUUCUUCCAUCCUCCCUCCCUUCCUCCCUCCCUCUCUUCCUUCCUUUUUUCUUUCAUUGCAUCAUUACCCCAUUUUGAAAACUUAAACAGAUAAUAGUUAUGAAAUAAUUCAAGUUGGAAUGAAUUAAAUUACACACAAAAAUCAACUCAGAGAAAGAAAGGUUAGAAAAGAUGGGUGAAUUGACAGUAUCAGAGCAGGGGGAUAUUAGGCAAGCCUGGAAAGAUACUACAGAUAUAAAGGCUCUCUCAGCUUUCCUCUCUUAGGACUUCAUUGCCCUCUCUUAUCUCCAGAAACUUAGAUAUCUGUUUUGAUAAGCUUCCUUAUCAAAACACUCUAAAUCCUAAGAAUUGUAAGGUUUUUUUGUACUCCCCAGGACUGUGGAUUUAAACUUGCAAGAGUUUAAAAUCAAUUAUUAAUAUCAGUAGAAUAAGUGAGUUUUUAUAAUUUAUUUAAUGAAACACAUUUCUAGAUACUCAAACACAAGUCUAAAGCCAACAGUGAAAUCCCAAGGGGAGCAGUAGUUUUCUUUGGCUCUGAGUUGACACACAGGAUACGGUUCUCAAAAUGGGGAGAAAGUACCCUCAGGUAAGUCCUACAAUUCCCACCUACUACUUAUACUUUCCUGCUCUGUGAAGUGGGAAAUAGGGGCCAGUCACUCACCAAAGAUCAGAUGACCAGGCAUUAAGGAAGAAGGAUAUUGGAAACAAGCCCAGGUCUGUUUUGUGAAAUAGUUUGUAAACUUCCUAUUAACUUCUGUAAGCUCAAUUAACAGCCUUUAAUGGUUAAUGGAACUAUCCUCUCCUUAUUGCCUUUUGUACCAAAUGUGAGGAAGGCAGGGUCUGAAGGCAUAGAUAGGCUGUCAUGAGGCUCCUUUAAAAUGAUGAGGGAAAGAAGUAUAUAUUUCAGGUAAGUUCAGCCAUUGCUGGUUGUGAUUAGGACCUUGGAGAAGCCACAGGACAGCAUUCUUCUUUCCACGCCACAGGGAUGUGUGCUGGAUUGCUGUCUGGCAAGGACUUUGAGUGUGAAAAGUGAAGUGCACACAGUAGGUUACAGAUUUGGGCAAUAAGUAAGAGAAUCCCUGAUUCAUGUUUAUGACUGUAAAACAGAUAAAACGUUGCUUCCAAGAUCCAUUCUCCCUCUCCCUUCAUAACAGAGCCACACAUUUGUUGAGAAUAGUGUGAGCACGCAUGUCACACUGGAUCUCAUAUCUGUCUUCACUGGCUAGGUCAAUUAUGACCAUUAGGUUCUUUCAUUUAUAUUAGGUCCUAGGAAGGGCAUAUAUCCAGAAAUGAACUCAAGUUGAACUAUAAAAGGAUUUCUGAAAGUUAGAUAAAUGUUUGUGAAGCAUGUUCCUGUUCACCAAAAGGAGUCAUUUCCCUUAACUCUCGAAGAAUCGAAGCCCAUGAUGCCCUCCAGGUUCUGACAGUCUCUAUUCCUAAGUAUCUAGUAUACAUUUCAAAGACCCCAUCUACCAUACUGGCCCUUUUCACCUCUCUCUCUCUCCUAAACUCCCAGGCCUGCUCCAGCUCUCCAGCCCCCACCCCUUGCCCCAGCUAUUCAGCCUUCUUAUUAUAAGCCCUCAUGAUCUUUAUACCUCCUGUUCUCUCACAGAUAGCCCCGGCCAUGUCCAGUCUGUCUCUUUGUCUCUUGACUCUGGACUCUUCAAGAUGCCUCUGGAUGUUCUCUGUCUCUUAUCUACAAGAAGACCCUUUCCUUUAAUGGAGUAGCUGUUCGGUAGUGUCUUCACUGUGCCCUCUCUUGCAUACACUUUUCACUCUCUGCUGCACAAGGAGUGGCCAUGCAGGAUGUCAGUGGUCUGUCAAGUCCGCUUCUGGAAAGCUUUUCCUAUUCUGGUAAAGAAGACUAGACAUGCGUGACCAUUUUCUCCUCUUUUCCUGCUUUGAAUGCAGAUGUGGUAGGUGGAGCAUGCAGUUGUUUUGAUAUUACAAAAUAGUAAGCAGAGAUGUCAAGCUGCUAAACACACACCAGAAACAGCCGUAAGUUGUUGUCGUGAAGAUAAUUCGAACUCAUUUUUUUACGACAUUGUAGUUGCAUACCCUAUUACUUGUAGCCAAGCACUUCCCUGAAAGUUAAAGGCUAUUUCACCCAUAAACUUACCUCCAUUACACUCAUGGUACAUUACAUAAACUAGUACCACAGCGACACACUGAACUGGUUUAAUCUGGCUCACAUAGCAUAUAACAUGUAAACAAAUGAAGUAAAUCAGUAUCAAAUAGGUGAAAGAAAUUGAUUUUAGACAUUGGGUAAAUUAUGGAAGAUUUCUGUGAAAUGUAUUCUAUUUUGUAAAGAAUAAUGUUGUGGGUUGUGACUGUUCCUUCUUCCAGUUUUUAGGGCAGCAUCCUGUACUUCUGACAAAUUAGUUGACACUAAUUACAUAGGAAUGACAAGGACUUACCACGAAAGCUAGUUUCCCUUUGACCUUGAACCAAAUUAGAGUGAGGCUCCAAGACAUCUGACUGGUCAUGCAGGGCUCAUGGCAUCCUGGCUCGAGAGAGAGCUAAUAUCUAAUGCAGUAGUAGGUCAAUGCAAGAAAAUUCAUUUUACGUCUUAAGGAAAGACUUAAGUAAAUGAAAUGAUAGUAAAUGAAAAUACACACAAAGGCAGGAGUCUAGAGAUCAAAGUUGCUAAAUGAUUAUUUCAAAAGUCCAGUUCUAUGAUUUAUAAAUCAUUUUAGUCUCUUUUGUUUUCUUACCCUGAAUUUUCUUUCUUUCUUUUCUUAAAAAUUCUUUCUUCAAUUGUCAUACUUCUCUUUGAAGGCAUCACCAGCAGGGAGGUUGUCUAGUUUUUCCUGUGAAUUCUUUUGUCAUUCUGAGAAUAGAAAUCAUCCCACGAUGACUUUUUUGUGUGUGUGAAAAAAAGGAAAAGUUAAUAGAGUGCUGUUGUCCAUAACCAAUACUGUUUAGGGGAUGGCUUGGUGUGUUCUCUUUUGUAAUUGCUAUUUUUGUUUUUUUCAUUUAAAGGACUAGAUGAGGACAAUAAAUGUUGUUUUAAAGUGAAGGGAAAUGAACUUUAUAGGCUCCCAAGGCUCUCCAGGUGAGGAAGGUGUCAGAAUGUCUUUGUGUGAUUUGAGAUUGGAAUGUCAACUGUGUCCUCCUCUCCCAAACACAGAUUUACCUGGAAUUCAUUGUGUUACUCACUUGGAAAGCUUGCUUUUUAAAGCCAAGGGUUUUCAUUUCCAGCUCUUGUUCUUGGAAUCACAUUGGGGUUUGCUGAAUUCCAUGGGGUGGCAGAAAGUUGGUGGCAGUGAACACCAAGGGCACUUUGGAGUCAGUUGGGAGAUGCUUCCUUCUUUGGCUGACUGAAGAAUAAAUUCAAGGCUUCAGUCACUCGUGCUUACAGAAGAACAUAUGGUGCAUUCUGCGGAAGGAUGAAACAACCUUCCUGGUAUCAGUCAAAUUUUAGUGAGAGUUACUACAGCCUCUUUACAAGGCCCAGUCAAGUGACAGGGCUCGAUGAAGAGAUGGCUCUUCCAGCAUAAGGUAGCUUGGGAUCCUCCUAACAGGAGGGCUUCUUGGGAUGUGGCAGAUGUGCAAACAACAGCGAAAACCUUGGGCAAUUGAGCAAGACACAGGCACAAAUCAGACCCGCCAUGUUUUGUAGAGUACUGGGUACUAAGGAAGUAAGAAGAAAGCCCUAGAAAGGGGCCACAUUCUUCCUGGGCCUUUGUAUCCAGCAGGCAAAGAGGUUAGCUCUGCAUUAUGCUUGGGGCUGGAGAGGAGGGGAGCAUUAAAAAUCCAGCUAUUACCUAUACUUUUUCUUCUUGGCAAAGAUUUAAAACAAUAGGGCCAACAAGAGGCUCAGCUGACAUUGGUUCUGGAAGAGCAUCAUGUUUGCUUUGUGACUGAGGGGUUGCAAACAGCCAGGCAAAAACUGAAAGUCACGCUUAAAAAGAAAAUUCUAGUCGGGAAACAGAAGACCACGAUCUGGUAGCAGAUAACCAAAAGAGCUCUGUCAAGAAACACGGGCUGAAUAUUUCUUAAGAAGGGUUCUACAUGUGAGAAUAUGGGCCCACUUGGCUUUUCUGCUUUUGCAAUCUUCUGUCUUCUUUUAGAGACACCGGGCCUCCUGCCACGCUCAGUAAGAGAUUUGGCUUCUAAAAGCUUUGGAGACUUCUCUUAAGGUUAAGAGGUUGCUCCUUCAUUUGAUAACCUUAAUCACUGCUUGUUCUGUUGUUCACUCAGCCCAGGAACUGUAAACUGACUGUGUACCCAGCUCUGUGCCGACUGUGAGAGAUCUGCCCUCACAGUGCUUGCUCAUGAUCCAGGCAAAGAAAAGCAGGCAGGUGAAAAGAGUAUGAGCAUCUCGAGCAAUUUUGAGAUUCAGGGAUGCAGAGACGUGUUUGAAGGGCACUCCAAGGAGGACAUCUGACGGACCCAAACAGCUUGAUGUAAACACUGCUUCGGUUUAUUGCAGAGUCCAAGCCCUCCUGUCAGCAUUUUCCAGAGUGCGCUUGAGCUUGGCAGCGGCAAGCACAUCUGCCGCAUUGCAGGAAUAGCUAGAGGUUUCUAAAGCUGUUUCUUUGGGAAGAUUACAGCCUUUCCUUGCCUUCCGUUUUCAGGGGUGGGGAGAAAAAUCUUCCCUACGUGCUAGCCAGCCACUGGGAAAUGAGAUGCCCUUCUCCUCCCUAGCAAAGAGACCACUGUGCGUUGUAAGUUUCACCUAUACAAAACAACAGAGUGAAAUCACAAUGGUGCUGUCCACCGUACAAUAGUCCAUAGUCUCCAUGAGAUUUUCAGUGUUCCCUAGGCCUGACUACAGAAUUGUGUGACAUUCUGAGAGCACAGAUUCACACAAUCUGUGACAAGAACAGAUAGUCAUGCAAUUCCAAUGCUUCCUUCUUUUAGUGUAAUGAGAUUUUAUUAACAUUUUCAGUGGAUUUAGUUUUAUUUGUGUUUCACAUUGGUUAUCUCCCGAAAGUUCUCAUAUUGGGGGUUGCUGCUACGGAUGUACCAGCUAAAUCUUUCUCUCUCUCAUCCUCUCUCUCUCUCUCUCUCUCUCUCUCUCUCUCUCUCUCUCUCUCUCUCUCUCUCUCUCUCUCUCUCUGUGUGUGUGUGUGUUUAAAAUAUGUGAUGAAAUAAUGAAAAAGGGGAAUGGAAUUGUUAAUAUACACAUGCUCCCACGGGAGCAAGGAAGCACUGCAAAUACACACAGUGGCAUCAAAGCAGCAUUUGUUUUGAACCAAAUAAUGCAAAUUAGGUUUACCUCUAUCAGUAUCCCUUUCCACUGAAAUCUACUUUCAAAGAAAUGAAAUAUGGGUUGUCCUUAUUUUUCUACUAAAAAUUAAACCUCACUAAACAAAAUCAAAUUUUUGAAGCUGUCAAUGCUUCUUACACCUGACAGAUUUUUUUCUCUUUCUCUGGCAAGCAUGGUAAAUUUGAAUGUAGAAGAUCCUGGCUAUUCUGGGGAGUUCAAGUUUCUGGAUGCCUGCCUUGACCCCUUCCAUGGGGUGGGAGCCAGUUCAUACUGACAGUCUUUCCGCUCACACUUCUGCAGCCAGUUUUCGUCAGCAAUCAGCUGUGGGCCCCGCCCACACCCCCACACUCCUUUUGUCCUGAUGGUUCCUGCAGGUUUAGCUGUCUUCCCCCACCUUUUCUUGUCUUCCUGUUCCUGUUCUCCGAGAGUUUAUUUUCCAUUUGAAAUCUAUUUUAUUCCUGCGACGGCAGUAUCGAUCCUCUGUCAUAUAGACCACCUGCUUCCUGGGGUCCCCUCCUCACUGUCACACGGACUAUUAUUAGAUGUGGUCACUUUUGAUUAUUCCAGCGCUAGCUGCUGUUUUCCCAGCUGAUGCCACAUCCCCAUCUCAUAUAUCAUCACGAGCAUCUGGGGGGCUCCCUGGCCUUUCCUUUGGCCUGAGAGUGACUCAGAUGCUUGCAAUGAGAGACAAAGAAUAGCCACAUUACCUCAUGAAAGGACACAAAACUUCUGGAGUGUGGGUUGAGAACAAAUAAACCCACAAGGAAAUGUAACUUUUUCAUGGUGCAGAAAAAUGAGAAAGAAGGCAUAUGAUUUCAGGUUUGGCAAACAGUAAUUCUCAUGAGCAUGUUCAUUGUGAGACUUUGAUGAAUGGUCCUCCACUCCAUCCUCCAUCCAGACCUGCAUGCUGUCAAAUUUGCCCCUGCCCUUUCAACAACACAGGAGGACCAAACAAACACAAUUGUCAUUUAAAAAGUAGGGUUAUUGCAGAAAGAUGUAAUAUGUGAUAGCUCUUAUAUACCUAUUUUAAUGCAGGUCUUACCUGGAGAAUGUUGGUUUGACUAAGGGAACUUGGUAAAAAUUGUCUUGCUCAUCAGAAGAAUCAUCGUAGAUGAAAUAGAUCAAUAGCAAAGAUGCCUAAGGGGAUUUAAUUACUCACAGUGAAAUCUUUGAGGCAGCCUCACAAAAAUGCACCUUUCUGAGUACAGAGUGGGAGAGGUACCGUGUCCUUCAUGCUCAUGUCUGUGUUCAGUGCAGUCGUUGUGUUUAAUAUAGCUAGGGCACUAGCAGAAAAGCAGACAUGUUUUAGAAAUGUGGCUUAUCAAUUUCUCCUUGGGCUCCUUGGACCAAAUUUCCUCUCCUAACGACCGCAGAGUGAAUGUUUCUCUGCAUCAGAAAAUGCCCCUCACCCUCCUGCUCAGCAUGUCAUCCUAUACUAUAAAGAACAGCCGCUGAGGCUUUAUGGAGAUUCCCUGGCAAUGGCUUCCAAGCUCAGCUUUAGGUACAGGGAGGACAAGGCAUCUUCGAUGCUGCCCUUUGCCUGUCUCUUCUCUUUUUUUUGUUUGUUUGUUUUUGAAAUCUUCUUUUUUUUUA
Long non-coding RNA from Peromyscus californicus insignis, 6905 nucleotides. RefSeq lists it as uncharacterized. The transcript has 3 exons. The record is from RefSeq and is a predicted model, not a curated record. NCBI's taxonomy places the organism in Eukaryota, Metazoa, Chordata, Mammalia, Rodentia, Cricetidae.